Molecule: non-coding RNA, 148 nt
Organism: Pan troglodytes (chimpanzee)
Lineage: Eukaryota; Metazoa; Chordata; Mammalia; Primates; Hominidae
Rfam family: Metazoan signal recognition particle RNA
About the family: The signal recognition particle (SRP) is a universally conserved ribonucleoprotein.
Source: Rfam
GCUGGGUGUGGUAGUGCACACCUGUAGUCCCAGCUACUCAGGAGGCUGAGGCAGGAGAAUCGCUUGAAUCUGGGAGGCAGAGGUUGUAGUGAGCCAAGAUUGUGCCACUGUAUUUCUGCCUGGGUGACAGAAUGAGACCCUGUCUCAA